UUAUAUGGUCAAGAAGAGAAGCGCAAACGGUGGAUGCCUUGGCAGUAAGAGGCGAAGAAGGACGUGGAAUCCUGCGAAAAGCUAUGGGGAGCUGGAAACGAGCGUUGAGCCAUAGAUGUCCGAAUGGGGGAACCCGGCUGCAGCGAUGCGGUCAUUUGCAUUUGAAUACAUAGGAUGCAAAGGCGAACUCGGGGAACUGAAACAUCUAAGUACCCGAAGGAAAAGAAAUCAA
RNAcentral lists this ribosomal RNA (232 nucleotides) under Legionella pneumophila. Its description in RNAcentral is "partial 23S ribosomal RNA". It matches the Rfam family "Bacterial large subunit ribosomal RNA", at positions 1 to 228 of the family's 2925-position model. The record is from RNAcentral. Lineage: Bacteria; Pseudomonadati; Pseudomonadota; Gammaproteobacteria; Legionellales; Legionellaceae.